UGCGAAGGGGGCUAGCGUUGCUCGGAAUCACUGGGCGUAAAGCGCACGUAGGCGGCUUGCUAAGUCAGGGGUGAAAUCCUGGAGCUCAACUCCAGAACUGCCUUUGAUACUGAAGAUCUUGAGUUCGGGAGAGGUGAGUGGAACUGCGAGUGUAGAGGUGAAAUUCGUAGAUAUUCGCAAGAACACCAGUGGCGAAGGCGGCUCACUGGCCCGAUACUGACGCUGAGGCACGAAAGCGUGGGGAGCAAACAGG
This 253-nucleotide ribosomal RNA is filed under the name uncultured bacterium. RNAcentral describes it as "partial 16S ribosomal RNA". It matches the Rfam family "Bacterial small subunit ribosomal RNA", at positions 524 to 776 of the family's 1533-position model. The record is from RNAcentral.